AAUGAAGCUUCAAUAAAUGAUUUAAAAAUCGGGUGCGGACGAUUUGGUCUAGAUAAGAAUUCUGGGUGG
Molecule: small RNA, 69 nt
Filed under: Staphylococcus aureus
Lineage: Bacteria; Bacillati; Bacillota; Bacilli; Caryophanales; Staphylococcaceae
Description: HMPRFS0000_2347
Source: RNAcentral